RNAcentral lists this ribosomal RNA (641 nucleotides) under Bremia lactucae (lettuce downy mildew). RNAcentral describes it as "LSU rRNA". It matches the Rfam family "Eukaryotic large subunit ribosomal RNA", at positions 103 to 628 of the family's 3401-position model. The record is from RNAcentral. Lineage: Eukaryota; Oomycota; Peronosporomycetes; Peronosporales; Peronosporaceae.
AUGAGCUCAAGCUUAAAAUCUCCGUGCAAAUUUUGCAUGGCGAAUUGUAGUCUAUAGAGGCGUGAUUAGCAUAGGCACUUGGGGCAAGUUCCUUGGAGAGGACAGCAUCGAGGGUGAUACUCCCGUUUAUCUCCGAGUUGCUUAUGCGUACAAUCCGUUUUCUUUGAGUCGCGUUGUUUGAGAAUGCAGCGCAAAGUAGGUGGUAAAUUCCAUCUAAAGCUAAAUAUUGGUGCGAGACCGAUAGCANACAAGUACCGUGAGGGAAAGAUGAAAAGAACUUUGAAAAGAGAGUUAAAGAGUACCUGAAACUGCUGAAAGGGAACCAAAUNGUUUCCAGUGUCUAUAAUCCGUGGUAUAUUUCAUUGGCGAAUGUGUGCGUGCGUGUACUAUGGCAGCGGCUUUUUGCUGCGCCUUGUGUAUGUGUGCACUUUCUNGCUNAUGCCCUGUACCGAGGUGASACGUCAAUGUCGGUUCGUAAAUUGCGGGAAAUGACUGCYGAGSAGUAGGGCGAACGCUUGCGUUUGUCUGUAUAUSUUGGCGGACGUACUAAUCUCGGUUGGACUGAUGUGCCUACAAUGUGCUUAUGAGUACAAUUGAUUCUCUGUGURCGCGUGUGCGAUAGCUGCUAUGCGUGUGUAGUG